This 542-nucleotide ribosomal RNA is filed under the name Klebsiella oxytoca. RNAcentral's name for it is "partial 23S ribosomal RNA". It matches the Rfam family "Bacterial large subunit ribosomal RNA", at positions 1 to 582 of the family's 2925-position model. The record is from RNAcentral. Lineage: Bacteria; Pseudomonadati; Pseudomonadota; Gammaproteobacteria; Enterobacterales; Enterobacteriaceae.
GGUUAAGCGACUAAGCGUACACGGUGGAUGCCCUGGCAGUCAGAGGCGAUGAAGGACGUGCUAAUCUGCGAAAAGCGUCGGUAAGGUGAUAUGAACCGUUAUAGCCGGCGAUGUCCGAAUGGGGAAACCCAGUGCAAUUCGUUGCACUAUCGUUAACUGAAUACAUAGGUUAACGAGGCGAACCGGGGGAACUGAAACAUCUAAGUACCCCGAGGAAAAGAAAUCAACCGAGAUUCCCCCAGUAGCGGCGAGCGAACGGGGAGCAGCCCGGAGUCUGAAUCAGCUUGUGUGUUAGUGGAAGCGUCUGGAAAGUCGCAGGGUACAGGGUGAUACUCCCGUACACUAAAACACACAGGCUGUGAACUCGAAGAGUAGGGCGGGACACGUGGUAUCCUGUCUGAAUAUGGGGGGACCAUCCUCCAAGGCUAAAUACUCCUGACUGACCGAUAGUGAACCAGUACCGUGAGGGAAAGGCGAAAAGAACCCCGGCGAGGGGAGUGAAAAAGAACCUGAAACCGUGUACGUACAAGCAGUAGGAGCCC